AUGAACGCUGGCGGCGUGCCUAAUACAUGCAAGUCGCGCGCACAGACGAGGAGCUUGCUCCUCUGACGUUAGCGGCGGACGGGUGAGUAACACGUGGAUAACCUACCUAUAAGACUGGGAUAACUUCGGGAAACCGGAGCUAAUACCGGAUAAUAUAUUGAACCGCAUGGUUCAAUAGUGAAAGACGGUUUUGCUGUCACUUAUAGAUGGAUCCGCGCCGCAUUAGCUAGUUGGUAAGGUAACGGCUUACCAAGGCAACGAUGCGUAGCCGACCUGAGAGGGUGAUCGGCCACACUGGAACUGAGACACGGUCCAGACUCCUACGGGAGGCAGCAGUAGGGAAUCUUCCGCAAUGGGCGAAAGCCUGACGGAGCAACGCCGCGUGAGUGAUGAAGGUCUUCGGAUCGUAAAACUCUGUUAUUAGGGAAGAAAAAAUGUGUAAGUAACUAUGCACGUCUUGACGGUACCUAAUCAGAAAGCCACGGCUAACUACGUG
This 496-nucleotide ribosomal RNA is filed under the name uncultured bacterium. Its description in RNAcentral is "partial 16S ribosomal RNA". It matches the Rfam family "Bacterial small subunit ribosomal RNA", at positions 29 to 507 of the family's 1533-position model. The record is from RNAcentral.